RNAcentral lists this transfer RNA (71 nucleotides) under Loxodonta africana (African savanna elephant). It matches the Rfam family "tRNA". Rfam says of the family: Transfer RNA (tRNA) molecules are approximately 80 nucleotides in length. Their secondary structure includes four short double-helical elements and three loops (D, anti-codon, and T loops). Further hydrogen bonds mediate the characteristic L-shaped molecular structure. tRNAs have two regions of fundamental functional importance: the anti-codon, which is responsible for specific mRNA codon recognition, and the 3' end, to which the tRNAs corresponding amino acid is attached (by aminoacyl-tRNA synthetases). tRNAs cope with the degeneracy of the genetic code in two manners: having more than one tRNA (with a specific anti-codon) for a particular amino acid; and 'wobble' base-pairing, i.e. permitting non-standard base-pairing at the 3rd anti-codon position. Lineage: Eukaryota; Metazoa; Chordata; Mammalia; Proboscidea; Elephantidae. The record is from Rfam by way of RNAcentral.
GCAGUGGUUGUUCAAUGGUAGAAUUCUUACCUUCCAUGCAGGAGACUCAGGUUCAAUUCCCGGCCAAUGAG